UCUCCCCCAUGCUGAUGCGACACCAGAGGCGAACCGCAUCCCAGGCUUGGCACACAUGAUGGCAGAACAAGCCAAGGGCAAAGGUAUUGCACUCCUUUUCUCCUGAGCUGUGCUGUGAUUGAGCUCUGCUGUGUGUUUGCUUUCUGCAUGUACUGUAGUGUUCCUCACUUAUGGCUGCGUGUGUACCUGGAUU
Trichomycterus rosablanca is the source of this 193-nucleotide long non-coding RNA. RefSeq lists it as uncharacterized. NCBI's taxonomy places the organism in Eukaryota, Metazoa, Chordata, Actinopteri, Siluriformes, Trichomycteridae. The transcript has 3 exons. The record is from RefSeq and is a predicted model, not a curated record.